This 800-nucleotide ribosomal RNA is filed under the name uncultured bacterium. RNAcentral's name for it is "bacterial SSU rRNA". It matches the Rfam family "Bacterial small subunit ribosomal RNA", at positions 8 to 820 of the family's 1533-position model. The record is from RNAcentral.
AGAGUUUGAUCCUGGCUCAGGAUGAACGCUGGCGGCGUGCCUAACACAUGCAAGUCGAACGGAGUGGAGGAGCUUGCUCCAAAACUUAGUGGCGGACGGGUGAGUAACGCGUGGGUAACCUGCCCUUAAGUGGGGGAUAACAGUUGGAAACGACUGCUAAUACCGCAUAAAGUUAAGAGUUCACAUGGACUUUUAACCAAAGGAGAAAUCCGCUUUUGGAUGGACCCGCGUCUGAUUAGCUAGUUGGUGGGGUAACGGCUCACCAAGGCGACGAUCAGUAGCCGGCCUGAGAGGGUGAUCGGCCACACUGGGACUGAGACACGGCCCAGACUCCUACGGGAGGCAGCAGUGGGGAAUCUUCCGCAAUGGACGAAAGUCUGACGGAGCAACGCCGCGUGAGGGAUGAAGGCCUUCGGGUUGUAAACCUCUGUCUUCAGGGAAGAAAAAAAUGACGGUACCUGAGGAGGAAGCCCCGGCUAACUACGUGCCAGCAGCCGCGGUAAUACGUAGGGGGCGAGCGUUAUCCGGAAUUAUUGGGCGUAAAGGGCGCGUAGGCGGAUAUUUAAGUCAGGUGUGAAAACCCAGGGCUCAACCCUGGAUCUGCAUCUGAUACUGGGUAUCUUGAGGACAGGAGAGGAAAGUGGAAUUCCUGGUGUAGCGGUGAAAUGCGUAGAUAUCAGGAGGAACACCGGCGGUGUAGACGGCUCUCUGGACCGUAACUGACGCUGAGAUACGAAAGCGUGGGUAGCAAACAGGAUUAGAUACCCUGGUAGUCCACGCCCUAAACGAUGCACACUUGG